GUUUGGAUUGUCAGUACAUAUUGCAGUGUUUUAUUUGCGCAACUACAGUAGUUCAGUUGUGUCAUAAGUGUGGCUUUUGGGCCAAAGAGGACCCACAUAAUUCAACAAGUGAUCAAAGCCAAAUGAAAAACCAGUGCAAUAUGAGGAAGAGGAGUUUCAUAUUCUGCAACAGUUUCAUUAGAGUUUGAGAGACUUUCAGAAAAGUGCAAGUAGCAUUCUGCUGAUGGUCAUUUCGAGAAUUCUCCAAAAGACAGUUGCAAAUCAUUUGAAAAAAGCGACUCACAAUGUUUGAGAGCUCAGCAAGCAAACAAGAGCAGCCAGUUUGAAGAAUGACUAAUGAGUUUCCUGUUCUUAACAUGGCAAACAAUGAGGAGUGGCUCCAACAGUUGAAGAGACCUGAAAGACACCAAAAUUGCUGUGAAGUAACUCUAAGCUGCAGGAGCAUUCUGGCUAUUGAUAUGUAAAGAGGCACACAGAAGGAUCCUCCCUCUUCUGGCAGGACCAUACCAUCACUUCUGCUGCUGCUACUUGUGAAAGCUGUUCUUUUCAUCAAGAGAAACAGCCAUUAUCCCUUCCAGUCCUACAGUCCUGUGCAGCAAAAAUCUUCAUUAACUACAAUUGGAAUUGGAGUCAAGGAGAGCUGCUUAGCACCACUCAGGACUAGGCCCUAUUGGUAAUGAAUGUGCCAAGAAUAUGCAGGGCUACCAAGCAGAGCUCUUUGGACAUCCAGUGUGAACAAUAUCAGGACCACUAACGAGAUCUGACAAAGUGGAGGUAGUUCUUUGACAUGAUAAAAUCAAGUCAAGCUUUCUGCUGACUCUUGAUGUGCCAGUGAAACUUCUUCCCAUGUUGCUGCUGAAGAUCAGACACAAAUGGAUUAUCCAACCUCAGAUCCAACUAUUCAGCCUUUAGCCCACCAGCUGGUCAUUCCAUCUGACACUCUGAGAAACCCACCACACCCUAGUGGGUUCCAGCCCCAGAUGGGCUUUACAAAUCCAAGCUAUUAAAUGCUUUCUACAGCUGUAUCCUCAGCCAUGAAUAGAG
Molecule: long non-coding RNA, 1044 nt
Organism: Mauremys mutica (yellowpond turtle)
Lineage: Eukaryota; Metazoa; Chordata; Testudines; Geoemydidae
Exons: 10
Source: RefSeq, a predicted model, not a curated record